UCCCGGGUGGCUUAGAUGGUAAAGCAUCUGCCUACAGUGCGGGAGACCUGGGUUCGAUCCCUGCGUUGGGAA
RNAcentral lists this transfer RNA (72 nucleotides) under Ovis aries (sheep). It matches the Rfam family "tRNA". From Rfam's summary of the family: Transfer RNA (tRNA) molecules are approximately 80 nucleotides in length. Their secondary structure includes four short double-helical elements and three loops (D, anti-codon, and T loops). Lineage: Eukaryota; Metazoa; Chordata; Mammalia; Artiodactyla; Bovidae. The record is from Rfam by way of RNAcentral.